AGAAGCUCCACGCCCCUGCCCACCCUCGCCCUGGGCAGCUCUUCCGUUGACCAUUUAUGAGCUGUAUCCUCUAUAAUGAACCAGUAAUGAUCUCCGGAUUCAAGAAUUUGAAUCCAGGCAAAGAAGCAAGAAAACAGACAUGCAACCCAACCAAGAGAUUGUGCUUGAGCAUGCAAGAACUGAUUGAACGCGUACCUGCCAUGAGACAGGGAUUGACCAGGCUAUGCCAUUCAUCUACAAGUUUUUCAAAUUAUCAAAAAUCUCCAAAAAAUGUUUCCAACAUGUUUACUGGAAAAAAAUUACGUCACAACAGAGCAUUCAAUCCAUUGAAAAGAUGCAAGGCACUGUGUAUGUGUCCUAGAACAUAAACAAAGUCAAAAGAGGCAGCCUUUGUGACAGAAGAACUGAACUGUUGAUUGAAGACUGGGCUCCCGUCCCGGGGCUGGCAGUGGCCGUGCAGGCAGCCGUGGGCAAGUCUGCGCCCCUCUCUGACUCUGUUACCCCUCUGGGGGGAUGAAGGUGAAUUAUUGUAGCCCUGAUUCCUGUGGUUCCACACCAUCAAAUCCAACUAGAUUUAUCUUUGAAUGUGUGGCUUACAAUCUAAUACAAAUGUAACAUCCUGUCUUAUCCUAAAGGAUGAAUCCAAAACAUCAAAAUUGAGUUAAAAUACAGUUUCCUAAAUAAAGAGCAAAAAUAUCUGUUUACCCAUGACUAAACAUGAGUGCAGGGCACUCCCCAACAGCCAGAUUCUGGUCUUGUCCCUCUUUGAGGGACAGCUACUCCAG
This 785-nucleotide long non-coding RNA is filed under the name Homo sapiens (human). RNAcentral's name for it is "HSALNT0309555". The record is from RNAcentral. Lineage: Eukaryota; Metazoa; Chordata; Mammalia; Primates; Hominidae.